UCUUAACAGGAUUUUGAUACCCUGGUAGUCCACGCCGUAAACGAUGAGUGCUAAGUGUUAGGGGGUUUCCGCCCCUUAGUGCUGCAGCUAACGCAAUUAAGCACUCCGCCUGGGGAGUACGGUCGCAAGACUGAAACUCAAAGGAAUUGACGGGGGCCCGCACAAGCGGUGGAGCAUGUGGUUUAAUUCGAAGCAACGCGAAGAACCUUACCAGGUCUUGACAUCCUCUGACAAUCCUAGAGAUAGGACGUCCCCUUCGGGGGCAGAGUGACAGGUGGUGCAUGGUUGUCGUCAGCUCGUGUCGUGAGAUGUUGGGUUAAGUCCCGCAACGAGCGCAACCCUUGAUCUUAGUUGCCAGCAUUCAGUUGGGCACUCUAAGGUGACUGCCGGUGACAAACCGGAGGAAGGUGGGGAUGACGUCAAAUCAUCAUGCCCCUUAUGACCUGGGCUACACACGUGCUACAAUGGGCAGAACAAAGGGCAGCGAAACCGCGAGGUUAAGCCAAUCCCACAAAUCUGUUCUCAGUUCGGAUCGCAGUCUGCAACUCGACUGCGUGAAGCUGGAAUCGCUAGUAAUCGCGGAUCAAGCAUGCCGCGGUGAAUACGUUCCCGGGCCUUGUACACACCGCCCGUCACACCACGAGAGUUUGUAACACCCGAAGUCGGUGAGGUAACCUUUUAGGGAGCCAGCCGCCGAAGUGGACAGAAGG
Molecule: ribosomal RNA, 710 nt
Filed under: Bacillus subtilis
Lineage: Bacteria; Bacillati; Bacillota; Bacilli; Caryophanales; Bacillaceae
Description: bacterial SSU rRNA
Rfam family: Bacterial small subunit ribosomal RNA
Source: RNAcentral